GGAUAUCUAGGCUCUUGCAUCGAUGAAGAACGUAGCGAAAUGCGAUACUUGGUGUGAAUUGCAGAAUCCCGUGAACCAUCGAGUCUUUGAACGCAAGUUGCGCCCGAUGCCAUUAGGUUGAGGGCACGUCUGCCU
RNAcentral lists this ribosomal RNA (135 nucleotides) under Medicago rigiduloides. RNAcentral's name for it is "5.8S ribosomal RNA". It matches the Rfam family "5.8S ribosomal RNA", at positions 14 to 146 of the family's 154-position model. Rfam says of the family: 5.8S ribosomal RNA (5.8S rRNA) is a component of the large subunit of the eukaryotic ribosome. Lineage: Eukaryota; Viridiplantae; Streptophyta; Magnoliopsida; Fabales; Fabaceae. RNAcentral also lists the same sequence under 3 other names. The record is from RNAcentral.